RNAcentral lists this long non-coding RNA (1269 nucleotides) under Medicago truncatula (barrel medic). RNAcentral describes it as "long non-coding RNA (MTRU_LNC004457)". The record is from RNAcentral. Lineage: Eukaryota; Viridiplantae; Streptophyta; Magnoliopsida; Fabales; Fabaceae.
GUGGGAUACUCCUAAGCAUGAUGCAGAAUUCAAUAUUCACGAAUUUAAGUUUAUCCAACAACUCAUCCCGCACACUUGAAAAACUCUCGAGCAUAAAACAAUUUGAAAGGUCAAGUUCUUGUAGCAAAUCCAACUUAAGAGGUGGAAUACUUCUGAGAUUGUGACAAUUUUUAACAAGCAUGGUUUUAAGUUUUCCAAGAAACCCGUCAACCACAAGUGGAAAAUUCUCAAGACUAAAACAACAUGAAAGAUCAAGUGUUUCUAGUGAAUCCAACUUGAGAGGUGGAAUACUCCUGAGACUGAAACAGUUUGUAACAAGCAUGGUUUUAAGUUUUCCAAGAUACUCGUCCACCACAAGUGGAAAACUCUCAAGACUAUGACAAUCUGAAAGUUCUAGUGUUUCCAGUGAAUCCAACUUAAGAGGUGGAAUACUUCUGAGAUUGCGACAACAUUUAACAUUCAGGGUUUUAAGUUUUGCAAGAAAUGUGUCCACCACAAGUGGAAAACUCUCAAGAGUAUCACAACAUGAAAGUUCUAGUGUUUCUAGUGAAUCCAACUUGAGAGGUGGAAUACUCUUGAGACUGUGACAAUUUUUAACAAGCAUGGUUUUAAGUUUUCCAAGAUACUCGUCCACCACAAGUGGAAAACUCUCAAGACUAUGACAAUUCGAAAAUUCUAGUGUUUCUAGUGAAUCCAACUUGAGAGGUGGUAUAAUUCUGAGAUUGCGACAACUCUUAACUUUCAAGGUUUUAAGCUUUGCAAGAAAUAUGUCCACCACAAGUGGAAAACUCUCAAGAGUAUCACAACCUGAAAGUUCUAGUGUUUCUAGUGAAUCCAACUUGAGAGGUGGAAUACUUUUGAGAUUGUGACAAUUUUUAACAAGCAUGGUUUUAAGUUUUCCAAGAUACUCGUCCACCACAAGUGGAAAACUCUCAAGACUAUGACAAUCUGAAAGUUCUAGUGUUUCUAGUGAAUCCAACUUGAGAGGUGGAAAACUUCUGAGACUGCGACAGCUUGUAACAAUCAUGGUUUUAAGUUUUCGAAGAUACUCUUCCACCACAAGUGGAAAACUCUCAAGACUAUGACAAAAUGAAAGUUUUAGUGUUUCUAGUGAAUCCAACUUGAGAGGUGUAAUACUCAUGAGACUGCGACAGUUUGUAACAAGCAUGGUUUUAAGUUUUCCAAGAUACUCGUCCACCACAAGUGGAAAACUCUCAAGACAAUGACAAUCUGAAAGUUUUAGUGUUUCCAGGGAAUCCAACUUGAGAG